Molecule: ribosomal RNA, 465 nt
Filed under: uncultured bacterium
Lineage: Bacteria
Description: partial 16S ribosomal RNA
Rfam family: Bacterial small subunit ribosomal RNA
Source: RNAcentral
CCUACGGGCGGCAGCAGUGGGGAAUAUUGCGCAAUGGGCGAAAGCCUGACGCAGCGACGCCGCGUGAGGGAUGAAGGUCUUCGGAUCGUAAACCUCUGUCAGCAGGGAAGAACGGUCACUGUGCUAAUCAGCAGUGAAUUGACGGUACCUGCAAAGGAAGCACCGGCUAACUCCGUGCCAGCAGCCGCGGUAAUACGGAGGGUGCGAGCGUUAAUCGGAAUUACUGGGCGUAAAGCGCUCGUAGGCGGUAUGUCAAGUCAAGGGUGAAAUCCCCGGGCUCAACGUGGGAACUGCCUUUGAAACUGGCAAACUUGAGUGUGUGAGAGGAUAGUGGAAUUCCAGGUGUAGGGGUGAAAUCCGUAGAUAUCUGGAAGAACAUCAGGGGCGAAGGCGGCUAUCUGGCACAUAACUGACGCUGAGGAGCGAAAGCGUGGGUAGCAAACAGGAUUAGAUACCCGAGUAGUC